RNAcentral lists this ribosomal RNA (497 nucleotides) under uncultured bacterium. RNAcentral's name for it is "partial 16S ribosomal RNA". It matches the Rfam family "Bacterial small subunit ribosomal RNA", at positions 28 to 507 of the family's 1533-position model. The record is from RNAcentral.
GAUGAACGCUGGCGGCGUGCCUAAUACAUGCAAGUCGAGCGAACAGACGAGGAGCUUGUUCCUCUGACGUUAGCGGCGGACGGGUGAGUAACAUGUGGAUAAUCUACUUAUAAGACUGGGAUAACUUCGGGAAACCGGAGCUAAUACCGGAUAAUAUAUUGAUCCGCAUGGUUCAAUAGUGAAAGACGGCUUUGCUGUCACUUAUAGAUGGAUCUGCGCCGCAUUAGCUAGUUGGUAAGGUAACGGCUUACCAAGGCAACGAUGCGUAGCCGACCUGAGAGGGUGAUCGGCCACACUGGAGCUGAGACGCGGUCCAGACUCCUACGGGAGGCAGCAGUAGGGAAUCUUCCGCAAUGGGCGAAAGCCUGACGGAGCAACGCCGCGUGAGUGAUGAAGGUCUUCGGAGCGUAAAACUCUGUUAUUAGGGAAGAACAAAUGUGUAAGUAACUAUGCACGUCUUGACGGUACCUAAUCAGAAAGCCACGGCUAACUACGUG